RNAcentral lists this ribosomal RNA (402 nucleotides) under bacterium. RNAcentral describes it as "partial 16S ribosomal RNA". It matches the Rfam family "Bacterial small subunit ribosomal RNA", at positions 355 to 776 of the family's 1533-position model. The record is from RNAcentral.
UGGGGAAUUUUGCACAAUGGGGGAAACCCUGAUGCAGCGACGCCGCGUGAUUUAGAAGGCCUUCGGGUUGUAAAAAUCUUUUUUACGGGAUGAAAAUGACAGUACCGUAAGAAUAAGGUCCGGCUAAAUACGUGCCAGCAGCCGCGGUAAUACGUAUGGACCGAGCGUUGUCCGGAAUCAUUGGGCGUAAAGGGUACGUAGGCGGCCUAAUAAGUUAGAAGUGAAAGAAUAUAGCUCAACUAUAUAAAGCUUUUAAAACUGUUAGGCUUGAGAGAUGAAAGGAGAGGUGGAAUUCCUAGUGUGGCGGUGAGAUGCGCAGAUAUUAGGAAGAAUACCGGUGGCGAAGGCGACUGUCUGGUCAUCAUCUGACGCUGAGGUACGAAAGCGUGGGUAGCAAACAGG